CCGAAAUCUGUAUAACUAAAUACAACAAAGCAAAAGGAUGACUUUAUUGCAAAGGUUCCGACCUGCAAGCUGGGAAACUCAAGGCUACAGGAGCAAUGAGUUCUGAGCUGCUCACAGACUAAGGGAUUUUUAUGGGAUAAAUACGGAAGUUGUCUGGCUUUUACAGCUGAUUGGUUCCAUGGUGGUCAUUUUUCUUACUUUGGGUCGGGUUAGCUGAGUCAGGAGCACAAGGAAGUCCAGAGAGGGUGUGAACAGACUUGGUGUUUGGGGAUUGGCCCAUGUCCUCUGCUAUAAAUUCCUGUAGGAAUUUCCCUGGUGCGCCUGUGUUCACUCACCGUCUCCAUUUUGUCCUUGACAUAAGUGACUCCACUUGAGUUGUAUCUCCUCAGUUCAACCACAGCCAACCUUUGCCUCAAGGUAAAUUGAAGAUGAAAAUAAACACACAAAAACUCAAUAAUCACCUUUUCAAUUCCAAAUAUUGGUCUUUGAAGUCUGUGUCAGAAACAAUAGAUGGGAAAACUAGGUUUUCCAAUUCAAAAGCAAGGCGAUUCAAGCUACAGAAUGAGGUAAAUCUUGAUGAAGGGGUGACUUAUUGCUUCACAAAAGGAAGAGAAGUUUCUGGAGAGUUGGUGGUGGGAGUCCAGAGAUAAAGGGAAAAGAGGCAAACAGGGUGGAGGGAGAGUGUUCCUGGGGAUCAGAGAUUCUUGAUCUGCCUUCUGCUCUUUGGUUCAAAACGUUGAAAGACCACCGGAUAGGUUUCCUGUCCCGAGCAUAGAGGUUUAUUCCUACUUCCUGCCUGGAUCUCUGGGAAGAGAGGACCUUAAAGUCCCAUGCUGACAUGGAACAGACCCAAUAAAGUGUGAACAGUGGUCUGGCAGGUCUGGGAAGAGAAAAGGCACUGAGAUUGCCACACAAAGGACACCUCACACGCCUGCACAGGCCACCCCACCCAACUCCAAUCCUUGGGGAACUGGAAAGUGCCGGGAGGGACAAUGGAGAGAAGGCCAGAGUCUGGAUAAGGAGGGUCCUGGGCAGAGUCUCACCUGCUAAGCUUCCCCAUCUCUUGGCCAAGGGACCCCUGGACACUGUGGGACAUCAGCACCAUCCACCAGUUAGGAGCUCAGACUUGAAGCCUGGCUUUCUCCCCCUCUGCUGGCUAAAUUUAUAAUCCGACCUCCCAGAUAUUCCUGGUGCAGCCACUCCCUGGACCACACUUUGAGAACUCUGGGCUACAUACGACUGUGGCUGGUGGCCGUGGGGUAGAAAAGCAGGUAACUGGAGAUGAAGAGAUCAAGGAACCAAGAGGCCUGGAUGUGCGGUGACUCAUUCAGAUGGCUGCUGAGGUCACUCAGGAUGGACACCAGACAAGACAGAGAAAAGGACCAUGAGCCAGAAGGCAAAGUCAUCAGUGAAUGGGAGAGGCACAGCGAGGGACAAAGGACAAAAGGCUCUUCAUGACGGAGAGGAGCUAGGGUGAAGGGAGGGAUUUAACCUGACGGCAAGAGUCUUAUAGGAGCAGGAGUAUUUCAAAAAUACUGGAAAGUAAAGGUCUGGCAUUGGCUUUGAAAAGCAAUUUAGGUACUAAGAGAAUAUGUAAGGGAAUAUUCAUAAUGAGAGAAUAAGAAGCUUCCGUUUAAGAAAGCUGCUGGAAAAGCCGUGUUCUCAGGGGAGAAAUUAAUCUUGAUUAAAGAGUAAGAUACAUCCUGUAAAGAAAUCCAGGAUGUGGGAGAGUUAUUAGAUCAUGGAGAAAGUUCCAGAGGACACGGUGAAAAGAAGUGAGGAAUGAGAACCUAGAGAAGAGAACAGGGAGCACAGAGCAUUCUGAGACUGAGAAUUUGGAAGAAUGAAGUUGGCCAGAGGGGUUGACGUUGUGGGCAAAGAUGGAGGAAACAGGACGUGAGGCACAGGAUAACGUAAUCCUGACAAACUCCAGCGAAGAGCGACUUUCUUCCCCACUAGCCUUGUGGAGUGCUCCCCUGGACUGCCGUGGCAUAGAAAAUUCCAAGACGAGAGACGACUUGCAAAGAGAGGCCCAACUGUGCCAGCUGAGAAUGGAAAAUGGAUGGAGUAGAAUGAAUGAGCCCAGGGGGAACCAGCUAACCCACAGAAUUGUGAGAAAUUACUGUUACUUUUUAAGUCACUAUGUUUUGGGGCAUUUCUUAUGCAGCAAUAGAUAGCUGAUAAAGAACUCUAGGGAGAUGUUGGGGUGUCUGUAGAGCUACCAAUCAUGUUGUUGGUCUAAUGCAAUAUUUCUGAUACUUGGGAGACAAUGAAUAAGACAAGCACAUUUUUAGGUUCUUUCUAUAUAUCAUCGAGUCCUUGGAUUUAUUGGUCUUUUCUGAAAGCCACUUUCAAAGGUG
Equus caballus (horse) is the source of this 2360-nucleotide long non-coding RNA. The record is from Ensembl. NCBI's taxonomy places the organism in Eukaryota, Metazoa, Chordata, Mammalia, Perissodactyla, Equidae.